RNAcentral lists this ribosomal RNA (497 nucleotides) under uncultured bacterium. RNAcentral describes it as "partial 16S ribosomal RNA". It matches the Rfam family "Bacterial small subunit ribosomal RNA", at positions 28 to 507 of the family's 1533-position model. The record is from RNAcentral.
GAUGAACGCUGGCGGCGCGCCUAAUACAUGCAAGUCGAGCGAACGGACUAGAAGCUUGCUUCUCUGAUGUUAGCGGCGGACGGGUGAGUAACACGUGGAUAACCUACCUAUAAGACUGGGAUAACUUCGGGAAACCGUAGCUAAUACCGGAUAAUAUUUUGAACCGCAUGGUUCAAAAGUGAAAGACGGUCUUGCUGUCACUUAUAGAUGGAUCCGCGCUGCAUUAGCUAGUUGGUAAGGUAACGGCUUACCAAGGCAACGAUGCAUAGCCGACCUGAGAGGGUGAUCGGCCACACUGGAACUGAGACACGGUCCAGACUCCUACGGGAGGCAGCAGUAGGGAAUCUUCCGCAAUGGGCGAAAGCCUGACGGAGCAACGCCGCGUGAGUGAUGAAGGUCUUCGGAUCGUAAAACUCUGUUAUUAGGGAAGAACAUAUGUGUAAGUAACUGUGCACAUCUUGACGGUACCUAAUCAGAAAGCCACGGCUAACUACGUG